CGUGAAGCCAUCUUAAUCUUGCAUAAACAAUGAGCUUUCUAAAAUUCUCUUUUAAAAUCUAAUAUUCAAAAUUAUAUUUUUAUCAAAAUUUAAUCAUAAUUAUUUUUAAAAUAAAAAUCUUAAAUUUCAAAAUCCUCAUAGGGUUGGCUAAGCGAUGAUGACUGAUAUCUCAAAUGAUUCAAUCAAGAGCAUCCAAUUGAUUAACUACAAUUCAAGGGUUAUGUUGGGAUGUAAUUGAUGAUGAAAUUUAAUGAUGCUCAGUUCGAUCAAAGGAGGGUUGAUAGGCUAUCUGACAGUCAUUAGCCAAGAUCAUUUCAUUAGGGUCUAUCAAGAUUAUUAAGUCUUUUGGAAGAUCCAAAAAAUUCUGAAAGAGAGACACAAUCUAGAGAGAGCCACUGUUAGAGAGAGAAAUUAAGAGAGAGAACAUGAUUUUUCUAAAGAGAGUAAAGAGAGAAAUUAGAGAGAGAAAGUGGGAAU
This 477-nucleotide long non-coding RNA is filed under the name Elaeis guineensis (African oil palm). Its description in RNAcentral is "long non-coding RNA (EGUI_LNC047475)". The record is from RNAcentral. Lineage: Eukaryota; Viridiplantae; Streptophyta; Magnoliopsida; Arecales; Arecaceae.